This 817-nucleotide long non-coding RNA is filed under the name Rattus norvegicus (Norway rat). Its description in RNAcentral is "long non-coding RNA NONRATT014481". Lineage: Eukaryota; Metazoa; Chordata; Mammalia; Rodentia; Muridae. The record is from RNAcentral.
GGGAAAUCACCACCCCCAUCACAACAACAACACUCACCAAGACCUGUUUAGGACAGCCAUUCAGUUCAGGUAGUUGUGUGGUCAGGCAUGCCAAAGGGCCAAGAGCACAGAUAAUGGAGUCCAGGAGCACUGACAAGCUUCCGGACACUGCUACCAUGCCCUGCAAGAAAAGCAGACGACUGAGUCACACGCAGUCGCUCUUCUGUUCAACUCUCUUUUAUGUCCUCUCAAUAACACACAGUAACAGACAGCAGUGUGGGUAGACAGCAGAGGAUCUGUGAGAGGCUGGGCCCCCAGGCUACUGGAAUUCACUCCCAUGUAAGAUCUCAAUAACCAUUUGUGUGUGUGGCUUGUACACUGCACUGCUGUUGUACGUUCUCCCCAAUACUCGUCUCUUACAGUCGCUACAUGAAAUACAUGUGCUCAGAAGGCCAACAGGGACUCUAAUCACCCUCCCUACUCAAAAACUCCCCUGAAGCUCCCGAGCAGGAACUACAAAUACCUCAGUGUCCACCAAGACAUCUGGCGUUGACAUUUCGUCUCGUCUUCCUACCUUAUGUGCUGUAUGCCUCCGCCUCAACAGUUAAGCAGGAAGAGUCAUCUUGAGACCUGUUUAAAGUAGGGCUGGGAGCCUAAAGCCUCAAUGGACCUCUGCAAAAGACUCCAGCGUAACAGAGUUACAGAUGUGCUCACUGCUCAGCCUCAAUUCCCAUCUGAACUGCAUGUGCUGUGGGAAUAGCAUGAUGUAACCUCGUCCGUGCCGCAUGGCUAUCUGCUUGUAUCUGUAUCUGCAUGGGCUGUAGCUGUCGUAGCCACC